AUGCCGGCCAGCCUACACAAAGGACUUAACUCCCUAAUCAUCCUCACAUCCUGGGCCAUCUAGAAGCACCGCAACGCAGUCCUCUUCGACAACAUAACACCCUCCCACGACAAACUUCUCAACGACAUCAAACUGGAGGCAAAACUAUGGGCAAGAGCUGACGCCAAAGGGCUCGGUCGGACCAUUCCUGUAACAUAA
Molecule: ribosomal RNA, 198 nt
Filed under: Triticum aestivum (bread wheat)
Lineage: Eukaryota; Viridiplantae; Streptophyta; Magnoliopsida; Poales; Poaceae
Description: partial small subunit ribosomal RNA
Source: RNAcentral